This 402-nucleotide RNase P RNA is filed under the name Solirubrum puertoriconensis. RNAcentral's name for it is "bacterial RNase P". It matches the Rfam family "Bacterial RNase P class A". Rfam says of the family: Ribonuclease P (RNase P) is a ubiquitous endoribonuclease, found in archaea, bacteria and eukarya as well as chloroplasts and mitochondria. Its best characterised activity is the generation of mature 5'-ends of tRNAs by cleaving the 5'-leader elements of precursor-tRNAs. The record is from RNAcentral. Lineage: Bacteria; Pseudomonadati; Bacteroidota; Cytophagia; Cytophagales.
GUGAUGCGCCGCCCCACCGCUGCGCCCGCAAGGGCGGAGAGGAAAGUCCGGGCAACGCAGAGCACCCUGCUUCCUAACGGGAAGGACGACGGCGGGAGACGGCCGCCGGACAGCCAGUGCCACAGAAAACUACCGCCUAAGCUGCCCUCGGGCAGCCGGUAAGGGUGAAAAGGUGCGGUAAGAGCGCACCAGCGGGCGGGCAACCGUUCCGGCUGGGUAAACCUCAGGGGUUGAAAGGCCAAAUAGGCCGGCAGGCGGGGCUUCGGCCCUGCAACGGGCGGCUCGUUCGUUGUCGGCGGGUAGGCUGAUGGAGCCCACGCGCGAGUGUGGGCCUAGAUAAAUGGUGGGGCCGCUGCCCUUCGGGGUGGCGGACAGAACCCGGCUUACAGGCGCAUCACCAAA